UACGUAGGGGGCAAGCGUUGUCCGGAUUUAUUGGGCGUAAAGGGCGCGCAGGCGGCGCUUCAAGUCCGUUGUGAAAUUUCAGGGCUUAACCCUGACGGGUCAACGGAAACUGAAGGGCUAGAGUGCAGCAGAGGAAAGCGGAAUUCCCGGUGUAGUGGUGAAAUGCGUAGAUAUCGGGAGGAACACCAGUGGCGAAGGCGACUAUCUGGGCUUUAACUGACGCUGAGGCGCGAAGGCCGGGGGAGCAAACAGG
This 253-nucleotide ribosomal RNA is filed under the name uncultured bacterium. RNAcentral's name for it is "partial 16S ribosomal RNA". It matches the Rfam family "Bacterial small subunit ribosomal RNA", at positions 524 to 776 of the family's 1533-position model. The record is from RNAcentral.